Molecule: ribosomal RNA, 627 nt
Filed under: Triticum aestivum (bread wheat)
Lineage: Eukaryota; Viridiplantae; Streptophyta; Magnoliopsida; Poales; Poaceae
Description: partial small subunit ribosomal RNA
Source: RNAcentral
AUGCUGUCUAUGUCCACUACUCCAUCCCUUCCAUUUAUAAUUAAGUUCCCUCGGCGUGGAUGGUGGAGAAAAUCUAGCCAAAAUCAAAAUUCAUAUAAAAUUCAUAUAGAGAUUCCGAUGAAUAAAGGCGUGCUGCCGGCCACAAGCUUCUUGCCAGCUACGUACUGUUCAUGGAGCAUGCUGCCUUCAAGCUCUAGGCCGGGUCAAACAUUUAGCCGGAUUAUAACCAUGGGAAAUAUCCCCAACAUCGCGCUUCCAUCAGAACUCCUGCUCGGCCUGCACAUACUCCGGAUGCUCACGUGCGAACCUCGCCAUCACCGCCUCGUCGCUCUUGCCGGCGUGGCGCGGUGCAGCAGCGGGGUGGAGCGGCGUGGGACGGUCCCAGGCCGGUCUCUGCUCUGCUGCCACGCCAUGAUCGGAGACAUCUUCCGGUACAUCGCGGGCGAGGAUGAGGAGGAACAUGCCGAUGAGCUUCCCGACGAGGAGCCGGCGUUUUUGCCGGUUGAACAACCUCACCAUGCGCCUGCAUGCACGGUUCUUCCUCCACAGGUAGUACCAGGAGGACCUGCACCUGUUCGUGCCUUGAUGAGGUCGUUCAACCAGCAAAACGGCGGCCGUCGUUGGUGA